RNAcentral lists this ribosomal RNA (1321 nucleotides) under Bacillus tequilensis. RNAcentral describes it as "bacterial SSU rRNA". It matches the Rfam family "Bacterial small subunit ribosomal RNA", at positions 52 to 1357 of the family's 1533-position model. The record is from RNAcentral. Lineage: Bacteria; Bacillati; Bacillota; Bacilli; Caryophanales; Bacillaceae.
UACAUGCAGUCGAGCGGACAGAUGGGAGCUUGCUCCCUGAUGUUAGCGGCGGACGGGUGAGUAACACGUGGGUAACCUGCCUGUAAGACUGGGAUAACUCCGGGAAACCGGGGCUAAUACCGGAUGGUUGUUUGAACCGCAUGGUUCAAACAUAAAAGGUGGCUUCGGCUACCACUUACAGAUGGACCCGCGGCGCAUUAGCUAGUUGGUGAGGUAACGGCUCACCAAGGCAACGAUGCGUAGCCGACCUGAGAGGGUGAUCGGCCACACUGGGACUGAGACACGGCCCAGACUCCUACGGGAGGCAGCAGUAGGGAAUCUUCCGCAAUGGACGAAAGUCUGACGGAGCAACGCCGCGUGAGUGAUGAAGGUUUUCGGAUCGUAAAGCUCUGUUGUUAGGGAAGAACAAGUACCGUUCGAAUAGGGCGGUACCUUGACGGUACCUAACCAGAAAGCCACGGCUAACUACGUGCCAGCAGCCGCGGUAAUACGUAGGUGGCUAGCGUUGUCCGGAAUUAUUGGGCGUAAAGGGCUCGCAGGCGGUUUCUUAAGUCUGAUGUGAAAGCCCCCGGCUCAACCGGGGAGGGUCAUUGGAAACUGGGGAACUUGAGUGCAGAAGAGGAGAGUGGAAUUCCACGUGUAGCGGUGAAAUGCGUAGAGAUGUGGAGGAACACCAGUGGCGAAGGCGACUCUCUGGUCUGUAACUGACGCUGAGGAGCGAAAGCGUGGGGAGCGAACAGGAUUAGAUACCCUGGUAGUCCACGCCGUAAACGAUGAGUGCUAAGUGUUAGGGGGUUUCCGCCCCUUAGUGCUGCAGCUAACGCAUUAAGCACUCCGCCUGGGGAGUACGGUCGCAAGACUGAAACUCAAAGGAAUUGACGGGGGCCCGCACAAGCGGUGGAGCAUGUGGUUUAAUUCGAAGCAACGCGAAGAACCUUACCAGGUCUUGACAUCCUCUGACAAUCCUAGAGAUAGGACGUCCCCUUCGGGGGCAGAGUGACAGGUGGUGCAUGGUUGUCGUCAGCUCGUGUCGUGAGAUGUUGGGUUAAGUCCCGCAACGAGCGCAACCCUUGAUCUUAGUUGCCAGCAUUCAGUUGGGCACUCUAAGGUGACUGCCGGUGACAAACCGGAGGAAGGUGGGGAUGACGUCAAAUCAUCAUGCCCCUUAUGACCUGGGCUACACACGUGCUACAAUGGACAGAACAAAGGGCAGCGAAACCGCGAGGUUAAGCCAAUCCCACAAAUCUGUUCUCAGUUCGGAUCGCAGUCUGCAACUCGACUGCGUGAAGCUGGAAUCGCUAGUAAUCGCGGAUCAGCAUGC